This is a long non-coding RNA of Eriocheir sinensis (Chinese mitten crab), 1956 nucleotides long. RefSeq lists it as uncharacterized. The transcript is spliced from 3 exons. The record is from RefSeq and is a predicted model, not a curated record. Lineage: Eukaryota; Metazoa; Arthropoda; Malacostraca; Decapoda; Varunidae.
CACAAAUUAUAAUCAUACAUAUUUAUUCAGUAAUUAACAAAAGCAUUUAAACUUGUCCUUAAGUCUACAGUAAGGCAAGGCAGACCAGCCCCUUGCUACCCCUCUGAGCGCAAGGCAGCAAGGUUGGAAUGGAGAUAUAUAUUAAUUAUUUCCUAUAUAAUUUCCCUCCCCAGCAGAGUACCGAGGGUGACUUAACUAUAUUUAAAGCACUGAUUAUAUACCUUUGCACAGCGUAAACCGAGGCUCAUUAACUAUAUUUAAAGCACUGAUUAUAUACCUUUGCACAGAGUAAUUAUAAUAAGUGAUAAUGGAGAGUGAUGAUAUCCUAAGGUGUAUUUAUAUUAGUUAUUGUGUUGAUGAGGGAGGACACACAGCUGAGUUUUGGUGUGUGUUGACGAGGUUUGCUUACUGUAAGGAAACACAGCUCUCAACACACUCACGGCAACACACUCACUGCAUCCAACACCCUUGUUAUUAUUAUUGUUAUUUGCUGUUAUUCUUUGGUUAAUCAUAUAUAUGUAAAUUAUUAACUUUCUCAUACUAAGAUAGACUCUGGUUGGUAUAAGAAGACACUUUCACUCCUCAAUUCACCCAUUUCUAAAGGUCAAAGAUGGGGUCAGUCGGGUUCUAAUGUGUGUUUCUUUAGGUUCGUGGUACAGAGGAAGGGUCACACUACCACCAGGGUCAUAAAACUACCCCUGGAAAUGCCCACAACUCCUGCAAAAGCCUUGUCAAAUAGGUGUUUCUUCAGGGUCAUGGUACAGAGGAAGGGUCACACUACCACCAGGGUCAUAAAACUACCCCUGGAAAUGCCCACAACUCCUAUGAAAGCCUUGUCAAAUAGGUGUUUCUUCAGGGUCAUGGUACAGAGGAAGGGUCACACUACCACCAGGGUCAUAAAACUACCCCUGGAAAUGCCCACAACUCCUAUGAAAGCCUUGUCAAAUAGGUGUUUCUUCAGGGUCAUGGUACAGAGAAAGGGUCACACUACCCCUGGAAAUGCCCACAACUCCUAUGAAAGCCUUGUCAAAUAGGUGUUUCUUCAGGGUCACACUACCACCAGGGUCAUAAAACUACCCCUGGAAAUGCCCACAACUCCUAUGAAAGCCUUGUCAAAUACGUGUUCUUGAGUGGCGAAGUGUCUUUUAAUACAACCCAGAGAUAUACUGCUUUGUCUUUCCAUUAUGUACGCGUAAUUAACUAAGUUUGUUAUGUACGGAAAAAGUUCAUUACACACCCAAAGCUUUGGUCUACAGGAAACAAUGUGUGUGGAGGAAGAGGAGGAGGAAGAAGAAGGAGGAGGAGGAGGAGGAAGGAAGGAAGAUUAGAGAGAGAGAGAGAGAGAGACCCAAUGACCUAACUUAACCUAACCUAAUCUAAUCACUCUUAACAUAAUCUAAUCCCCCUUAAAAUAAUCUAAUCUAAUCCCCUUUCCAAUCCCCCUUCUAAUCCCCCUUGAACCUAAUCUAAUACAUCAUCACUCUUGUUCCCCAAUGAGUUUGUUAGGCCAGGGUUUGCUGAACACAUCAAUAACAUAAACACAGACACACUAUCGACCUGUAACACCACCUAGGUUUACCCGAACUCCCUCAUCCAGGUCACUGUACACAUCAAUAACACAAACACAGACACACUAUCGACCUGUAACACCACCUAGGUUUACCCGAACUCCCUCAUCCAGGUCACUGUACACAUCAAUAACACAAACACAGACACACUAUCGACCUGUAACACCACCUAGGUUGACCCGAACUCCCUCAUCCAGGUCACUGUACACAUCAAUAACACACACAGACACACUAUCGACCUGUAACACCACUUAGGUUGACCCGAACUCCCUCAUCCAGGUCUCGUACUUAUCCAGGUCGUGUUGGCUCACAGACUUGUUGCACUUUGCCACGGCUGCCAUGAAGUCCUCCUGGGUCACCGGCAGGUCCAGCUCCUCCUUGGGCAGCG